This 252-nucleotide ribosomal RNA is filed under the name uncultured bacterium. Its description in RNAcentral is "partial 16S ribosomal RNA". It matches the Rfam family "Bacterial small subunit ribosomal RNA", at positions 524 to 776 of the family's 1533-position model. The record is from RNAcentral.
UACGUAGGUGGCAAGCGUUAUCCGGAAUUAUUGGGCGUAAAGCGCGCGCAGGCGGGCUAGUCAGUCUAUCUUAAAAGUUCGGGGCUCAACCCCGUGAUGGGAUGGAAACUACUAGUCUUGAGUAUCGGAGAGGAAAGCGGAAUUCCUAGUGUAGCGGUGAAAUGCGUAGAUAUUAGGAAGAACACCAGUGGCGAAGGCGGCUUUCUGGACGAAAACUGACGCUGAGGCGCGAAAGCCAGGGGAGCGAACGGG